AAAGAGAAGGCCGUGAGACUGGAUCCAGAGUACCGCUGGACACGUGAAACCCGGUGGGAAACAGGGGGGACCACCCUCCAAGCCUAAAUACUACCUGAUGACCGAUAGAGGAGCAGUACCGUGAGGGAAAGGUGAAAAGGACCCCGGGAGGGGAGUGAAAGAGAACCUGAAACCUUGUGCUUACAAGCUGUCAAAGCACGUUAAUGUGUGAUGGCGUACUUUUUGUAGAACGGUCCGGCGAGUUAUAGUAACGAGCGAGCUUAAGGUAUUCAGUACCGGAGGCGAAGCGAGAGCGAGUCUGAAUAGGGCGUAAAGUUCGUUGCCAUAGACCCGAAACCGGGUGACCUACCCAUGAGCAGGUUGAAGUGGGGGUGAAACCCCAUGGAGGACCGAACCGACCCCCGUUGCAAUGGUGGCGGAUGACUUGUGGGUAGCGGUGAAAUUCCAAUCGAACUCGGAGAUAGCUGGUUCUCCCCGAAAUAGCUUUAGGGCUAGCGUUAUGUUAGAUUACCGGAGGUAAAGCACUGAAUGGUAGCGGGGCCGAUAAGGUUACCAACGCCUAUCAAACUAAGAAUGCCGGCUAAUUGAUGCAUAGCAGUCAGACAGUGUGAGAUAAGUUUCAUUGUCAAAAGGGAAACAGCCCAGACCUACAGCUAAGGUCCCGAAUAGAUGCUAAGUGGAAAACGAUGUGGAGUUGCGAAAACAACCAGGAUGUUGGCUUAGAAGCAGCCACUCAUUAAAAGAGUGCGUAAUAGCUCACUGGUCGAGUGACUCUGCGCGGAAAAUGUAACGGGGCUAAGCAUCUAACCGAAGCUUAGGAUUGUCGUAAGACAGUGGUAGGGGAGCGUUCCAUGUGGGGUGAAGUCGCAGCGGAAGCAGCGGUGGACUGCAUGGAAGUGAGAAUGCCGGAAUGAGUAGCGAGAAUUAUGUGGGAAUCAUAAUGGCCGAAAAUCUAAGGUUUCUUGGGGAAGGUUCGUCCGCCCAAGGUAAGCCGGGAGCUAAGGCGAGGCCGAAAGGCGUAGUCGAUGCACAUACGGUAGAAAUUCCGUAGCCACCGAACUUUAAGUCAGAGGGACACUUUUGGAUAGCGGAACCCGGGCGUUGGUUGACCCGGGCGAAAGGGAGCGAAAAUAUAGUAGCGAAGUCCGCGAUGCUGAGAGGCGAGAAAAGCUCUGAUGGAUACUAAGGUGCCCGUACCGCAAACCGACACAGGUAGAUGAGGAGAGAAUCCUAAGGCCAACGGGAGAAGGGUUGUUAAGGAACUCGGCAAGUUGACCCCGUAACUUCGGAAUAAGGGGAGCCUCGCAAGAGGCCGCAGUGAAAAGGCCCAAGCAACUGUUUACCAAAAACACAGGUCUAUGCUAAAUCGAAAGAUGACGUAUAUGGGCUGACGCCUGCCCGGUGCCGGAAGGUUAAGAGGAGAUGUCAGCGCAAGCGAAGCAUUGAAUUGAAGCCCCGGUAAACGGCGGCCGUAACUAUAACGGUCCUAAGGUAGCGAAAUUCCUUGUCAGGUAAGUUCUGACCCGCACGAAAGGCGUAAUGAUUUGGGCACUGUCUCAACAGCCCGCCCGGCGAAAUUGUAGUACUGGU
RNAcentral lists this ribosomal RNA (1590 nucleotides) under human gut metagenome. RNAcentral's name for it is "bacterial LSU rRNA". It matches the Rfam family "Bacterial large subunit ribosomal RNA", at positions 383 to 2054 of the family's 2925-position model. The record is from RNAcentral.